GGGGGUGUAGCUCAAUGGUUGAGUGCUUGCCUAGCAUGCAUGAAGUCCUGGGUCUAAUCCCAGCACUGCCC
RNAcentral lists this transfer RNA (71 nucleotides) under Marmota marmota marmota (Alpine marmot). It matches the Rfam family "tRNA". From Rfam's summary of the family: Transfer RNA (tRNA) molecules are approximately 80 nucleotides in length. Their secondary structure includes four short double-helical elements and three loops (D, anti-codon, and T loops). Further hydrogen bonds mediate the characteristic L-shaped molecular structure. tRNAs have two regions of fundamental functional importance: the anti-codon, which is responsible for specific mRNA codon recognition, and the 3' end, to which the tRNAs corresponding amino acid is attached (by aminoacyl-tRNA synthetases). tRNAs cope with the degeneracy of the genetic code in two manners: having more than one tRNA (with a specific anti-codon) for a particular amino acid; and 'wobble' base-pairing, i.e. permitting non-standard base-pairing at the 3rd anti-codon position. Lineage: Eukaryota; Metazoa; Chordata; Mammalia; Rodentia; Sciuridae. The record is from Rfam by way of RNAcentral. RNAcentral also lists the same sequence under 1 other name.